RNAcentral lists this ribosomal RNA (492 nucleotides) under uncultured bacterium. RNAcentral's name for it is "partial 16S ribosomal RNA". It matches the Rfam family "Bacterial small subunit ribosomal RNA", at positions 29 to 507 of the family's 1533-position model. The record is from RNAcentral.
AGUGAACGCUGGCGGUAGGCCUAACACAUGCAAGUCGAACGGCAGCACAGUAAGAGCUUGCUCUUACGGGUGGCGAGUGGCGGACGGGUGAGGAAUACAUCGGAAUCUACUUUUUCGUGGGGGAUAACGUAGGGAAACUUACGCCAAUACCGCAUACGACCUACGGGUGAAAGCAGGGGAUCUUCGGACCUUGCGCGAUUGAAUGAGCCGAUGUCGGAUUAGCUAGUUGGCGGGGUAAAGGCCCACCAAGGCGACGAUCCGUAGCUGGUCUGAGAGGAUGGUCGGCGACACUGGAAGUGAGACACGGUCCAGAGGCCUGCGGGAGGGAGCAGUGGGGAAUAUUGGACAAUGGGGGGAAGCCUGAUCCAGCCAUACCGAGUGGGUGAAGAAGGCCUUCGGGUUGUAAAGCCCGUUUGUGGGGAGAGAAAAGCAGCAGGUUAAUACCACGCUGUUCUGACGGUACCCAAAGAAUAAGCACCGGCUAACUUCGUG